AGUGAACGCUGGCGGUAGGCCUAACACAUGCAAGUCGAACGGCAGCACAGUAAGAGCUUGCUCUUACGGGUGGCGAGUGGCGGACGGGUGAGGAAUACAUCGGAAUCUACUUUUUCGUGGGGGAUAACGUAGGGAAACUUACGCUAAUACCGCAUACGACCUACGGGUGAAAGCAGGGGAUCUUCGGACCUUGCGCGAUUGAAUGAGCCGAUGUCGGAUUAGCUGGUUGGCGGGGUAAAGGCCCACCAAGGCGACGAUCCGUAGCUGGUCUGAGAGGAUGAUCGGCCACACUGGAACUGAGACACGGUCCAGACUCCUACGGGAGGCAGCAGUGGGGAAUAUUGGACAAAGGGCGCAAGCCUGAUCCAGCCAUACCGCGUGGGUGAAGAAGGCCUUCGGGUUGUAAAGCCCUUUUGUUGGGAAAGAAAAGCAGCAGGUUAAUACCCCGCUGUUCUGACGGUACCCAAAGAAUAAGCACCGGCUAACUUCGUG
RNAcentral lists this ribosomal RNA (492 nucleotides) under uncultured bacterium. Its description in RNAcentral is "partial 16S ribosomal RNA". It matches the Rfam family "Bacterial small subunit ribosomal RNA", at positions 29 to 507 of the family's 1533-position model. The record is from RNAcentral.